GGGGUUUUGGGGGAACUGGAGGGGAAUUCUUUAAAAACUGACUUUUAAUCAGUAGGUCGCUGGUUCGAAUCCAGCUGGGCUCACCA
Molecule: transfer RNA, 86 nt
Filed under: Novosphingobium sp.
Lineage: Bacteria; Pseudomonadati; Pseudomonadota; Alphaproteobacteria; Sphingomonadales; Sphingomonadaceae
Also listed under: 1 other name
Description: tRNA-Ser
Rfam family: tRNA (bases 24-83)
About the family: Transfer RNA (tRNA) molecules are approximately 80 nucleotides in length. Their secondary structure includes four short double-helical elements and three loops (D, anti-codon, and T loops). Further hydrogen bonds mediate the characteristic L-shaped molecular structure. tRNAs have two regions of fundamental functional importance: the anti-codon, which is responsible for specific mRNA codon recognition, and the 3' end, to which the tRNAs corresponding amino acid is attached (by aminoacyl-tRNA synthetases). tRNAs cope with the degeneracy of the genetic code in two manners: having more than one tRNA (with a specific anti-codon) for a particular amino acid; and 'wobble' base-pairing, i.e. permitting non-standard base-pairing at the 3rd anti-codon position.
Source: RNAcentral